Non-coding RNA from Monodelphis domestica (gray short-tailed opossum), 1913 nucleotides. Lineage: Eukaryota; Metazoa; Chordata; Mammalia; Didelphimorphia; Didelphidae. The record is from RefSeq and is a predicted model, not a curated record.
AGGUUUUUCCCGGGGUCACACAAUUGGCAAAUAUAUAAGCCUAAGGUAGAAUUUGAACUCAGAUCGGUCCACGGAGUCGUCCAACUGCCCGGUGAAUAUUUACUGGGUUUGCAGCCUCGGGGUCAAGGGCAUAGAAUGGGUAACCGUGUCGGUUCCUCCACCAAACCUCCCGAGGCUGGAUCAGGCCCCAUCCCCCACCCCGGGGCAGCCUCGGCCGAAGAAAGCCAGAAACGAAGACAAUGCUGAGGAAAUUAACCUUCUCCCUGCCCAAGGGCUGCCUAAAGGGUUUUUCUUGGUUCCUAAAUGGGGGGGGGGGGGGGGCGGGGAGAGGUGGCCAGGCCAUUGAGGGGACACGUUAAGUAGAAGUGACCGCUUUUCCAAAAGAAACAAAAAUGUUAGAAAAACAAAGGAUCAAAAUGAAGGCAAGAGGGAGAAGAAGGGAAGCUGGAACUCUCUCCAGUUCAUGUCCCUAAGGUUUCUAGCCCAAUGGCGAAUUUAAAAAAUCCCAGAGCACCCAAAGACAUAAGCUGCAGUUGUUCUAGAAGAUUCGCUGGUAAGUACAUUUAAAAUUCCAUUUUCUAAAUGGCUCCUUUGGAAAUGCCAGGCCCUUCCCAGGGUACCUCCCACCCUGAGCUGCUAUCGAAUGUUAACCAAGGGCCGGGCUAAGUCGGUCUGGGGGCCCCCCACCCACCGCCAAUGGGGAGCAGCUGGGUCUCCCAAGCCACAUCUGGUGGUUUCACUUCAGCCGAAUUCCGAGUAUUCGUCCCAUUUCCAUUACUGAGGUGUGCAUAUGUUAGAACCAACUCCCUUUGGCAGAGCAUCCCCCAUAAUGCCAUUUGGCAGGGUAUCACUGGGCGGGCCGGCUGGUGGUCCCCCCCCCCAGGCCCCUCUCCCCGGCCGGGAGGAGGGAAGUGUGCCAGCUCGUCUCGGGGAGGUAAGGGAUCGAGCCGUGGUGUCUGGGGCCUGGGUCCGAUCUUCCCUUAAACGCCCUGCUGUGGUUCCCCGAUUCCCCCAAACGAGGCUGUAAAGAAGUCAUUGGGGAUGUUUGGAUCACUGCCUCCCCUUCCAAUCGGGAUUCAGAGCAAUGACAACAUCCAAAUGAUGUUUGUUGUCCUGGGGCUAGGCAGAUAUCUGCCCAUGAAACAGAUGUCUGGGAACAUCUGGAAAAGAUCAAAAUGUAACCGUAUGACAGACAGCAGCUCCAGGCAGGCACAUCUCUUCUUUUCCCACCCGUCCUGCUGACUCACAGGAUAUGCCAGCACCUCCUCAGCCCCCCUGCUUUGGGGGCCCUUCCUUCCUUCCUUCCAUCCUUCCAUCCCUCUGGUUGGAAGGGGGGGGGGACAUGACUCCCAGAGCAUGUGACCUUGUCAUUUCCCCAGCAGUCACCCUCCCGGACUUCAUGACCUCCAGAAACUCAUCCUUGUGCAAGAUGAGAUCCAAGUUCUUAUUAAUGUCCUCCAGAGCCUCUACUGAUUGCUCACUCACACUCUGCCCACCCAACAGUCAUUGGUGCUGAUGUCAGAAACAACAUCUGACUUUCAACAAACACUGGAACAUAGCUGCUGUGAGGAGUUUCUUCACAAGUAUAAAGCCAUCAUAUUUUCAUCUAUGUGCAAUUACCUCAAAUGUAAGCAGUGGUACAACAAUUGUCAUCCAGCUGAUUGCCAUUGUUAUAUGCGUCCUCCUCUGUUCUGCAAUAACGUCCAUAGAGCGUAAGAACAAGACGGACCAAACAAUGUAAUAUAGCACCACCAGGCACAAGAAGGACAUCAAAAUCCACAAUGGAACACAAACAACCUGGAGAAAAAAAAUAUUUAUUGGUUAGCACCUUACUGAUGAAGUAGCAUGUGGCAGGGCUUGGUAAAAGCUUGCAUCAGCAAGGUUAAAAGAAUAAGACUUGUACUCCUAUAGCA